CACUAGCCCCGAUUGUAGUGGAAAUCCUUUUGGAGCUGGGGUUCAGCCCCAAAAGAUUAUAACGAAGAGCGGGACUUUGC
Flavobacterium succinicans is the source of this 80-nucleotide small RNA. It matches the Rfam family "Flavo-1 RNA". The record is from Rfam. Lineage: Bacteria; Pseudomonadati; Bacteroidota; Flavobacteriia; Flavobacteriales; Flavobacteriaceae.